This 293-nucleotide small RNA is filed under the name Pongo abelii (Sumatran orangutan). RNAcentral's name for it is "processed transcript". The record is from RNAcentral. Lineage: Eukaryota; Metazoa; Chordata; Mammalia; Primates; Hominidae.
GUAAUUGAAACUUGGUUCUAAGUUUCCCUCUUGUCCUUUCCUGUUUAAUGAACAGUCAGCUGUCCUGGAAUUUAUUUUUUGGUGGUACUUUGAAUCAGCCCCCCGUGUGAGAAUUCAACAAAAACGCAACUGAUGCAAAGCAUCUGCACUGAGUGCUGCAGGAGGCUUCUCACAUGCUUCGGGAUAUCUUCAGGGAAAUCUGCUCUAUUUAAGAAAGUCUGCCUGGCGGAGGACACCCGCACUUGUUACCUUGAGUUCAUGACUGAAACUGUGGACCCCUCGGUAUUAACAGA